Molecule: long non-coding RNA, 2643 nt
Filed under: Pelobates cultripes (western spadefoot toad)
Lineage: Eukaryota; Metazoa; Chordata; Amphibia; Anura; Pelobatidae
Source: RNAcentral
GGUGAAUAUUGGAUUGAUCCAAACCAAGGAUGCAACAGAGAUGCAUUCAAAGUGUUCUGCAAUUUCACUGCAGGGGGAGAAACAUGCCUCUUACCAGACAAAAAGUUUGAGUCGGUCAGUAUAAUUGUAACAACAUGCAACUAGUAUACCGUAUAAGUAAGGUUAACACAAUACAGAAAACAUGAAUUUCAUGGUUUGUCACAGAAAAUUUUUGUUUUCAGUAUGUUAAUUGAAGAUAGAAGCUGAUGUUAUUUGAGCGAUUUUGUAAAAACUUUGAAAACAUUCUAGCAGAGGAGUGUAUACACUGUCAUAAGUUUUUAACACAGGUCCGUUAAUUCAGCAAUGUUAGAAUUAAGGUCAAUAGAUUUUUUUCUUAUCUGAUCAAUUAAAGGGACACUAUAUUCACCAGAACAACUACAGCUGAUUGAAUUUCUGGUUCUGGUGAGUAGAAUCAUUACCUUCAGGCUUUUUGCUGUAAACACUGUAUUUUCAGAGAAAAUGCAGUGUUUACAUUACAGCCUAGUGAUAACUUCACUGGCCACUCCUCAGAUGGCUGUUAGAGAUCCUUCCUGGGUCAUGGCUGCCUAAAAUGCAUCCAAACAUUCAGUAUCUCCUCUCUCUGCAUGCAGACACUGAACUUUCCUCAUAGAGUUUUGUUGAUUUAAUUCAUCUCUAUGAGGAGAUGCUGAUUGGCCAGGGCUGUGUUUGAAUCAUGCUGGCUCUGCCGCUGAUCUGCCUCUUUGUCAGUCUCAGCCAAUCCUAUGGGGAAGCAUUGUGAUUGGAUCAGGCCACCACUUCUGAUGAUGUUAUAAAUUGAGCACAAUCUUUACAUAACAAGGGAAGGCUUGGACAAGCAAUAACAAGUAUUGUAUACCACAUGGGAGACCUAAAGGGACACUGUAGGCACUAUAACUGCCAGGGUCCCUUAUUUCGUUUUUUCACUGCAUGGCAAGGCUUAACACUGAAUGGAGACACAGUGCCAGAAGACUCCAAGCAUUGUAGUCAAUUUAAUAAUAUGAAAUGUUUACAGUGCCUACAGUGUCCCUUUAAUGGAGUGAAAGGGCAGUCAGUUUGAAUUUGCCUUAGUGCUCUCUCCUGGAACAGUAGUGCAACACCCUCCUGGUAAAACAGUGAGGCAGGUAUGGUGGAGGUAAAUGAACAUACAAAACACGCUAAAGUGUGGUUAGUCGUAAUAUAUCUAGGUCAGGACCAUAGAGUCCAAUUUCAAUCUAAACAAAGGACCAUGUGUCUUAAGAAAAGAGUCUGUUUUCCAAGCUCCUCAACAAGUCAUGUAAUUUCUGCUUGGUUGGCAUUGGAUAACAUGGGGCAGCAGUUUCAUGUGGCAGCCAUACAAAGGUGGGGAAACUCCAUAACAGUUUUAUUUGUAGAUAUUUGAGUUUAAAAUGACUGAUUCCUUGUCUUUUCUCCACAGUUCACUGCUUAGAGAAUAACUCUGAAUUGCCUUUCCAGAAUACAGUUAAAACCACAUGAGUUUUAAAAAUGAUUUGGGGAGGAAGAGACAAAAGGGUUCUUCCCAAUGUUGUCACUAAGUUUUAGGCCAACCACCAAUGGCUAAAGUGGCUGUCACUAACCUUAACAAGUGGAUGCCAGCAUGUACCAGUACCAGAUGAAGGGGGGUGAAUCGGGAACAGGUCCAUAAAUCUGUCCAUAGUCCAUAUUGUAGGUACCAGGAGGCAAUAAUACAGUGGUAAAUACAUAAAAUGUGCCAGCCAGCUGUAUUUGACAUGCUCCGAUCAUUGCAUAAGAGCCCUUGAAUGGCCACAAAUGCCCAGCAGCAGGCUUGGGCUGCAUUUAACAGUAAUCACUAGACAUUCCAAAUUAGGACUGUGACACAUUAUCCAGGACUGUUGGUAGGAAUGUGGCUGGGCCAAUAUUGCAGAAUAAGGGGGAAAAUAUUAUAUAUGAAGCCUAAUGUGAGGUGUAACGUGUUCAGGACUGAAUCAGAUUUUUUAGAACUUGUGUACUUUUUUUAUUAUUAUUAUUUUAUGUAAGGAUACAGUACUUUGCUGCAUAACUUUUCUACAGAUAAAUACGAAAUAAAUAUCAUUAAACAUUUUUAUAUCAAGGUGAAAGUGGCAGCAUGGAACAAAGAAAUCCCCGGAGAAUGGUACAGCUCAUUUAAACGAGGCAAAAAGGUAAACUUAUUUUAUUUAUUUAUUUAUUUUUAUUUUGUUUUCAUAUUCUGAACAGGUUCAGUUAAUAAAAAAAAAAAGCUAUUAGGUAUUGAAUUUGGAGCAAAAUAAAUGUCUGUUUUAUUUUGUCAUUUUUACGGAUUUUUUUCACAUGUUUUCUGUAAACUGUAAAGACUAAAAAAAAAUGAAAUUUUUAUUUUGUCUUGAACGAGUAUGCCACUUUUUCACAAAAUAACUGUUUGCCACGUGUUUAGUAGUGGGUUGCAUAAAGUUCCAUAUUGCAGAACUUUGAAAUAUUCUUGCACUUAAUUAAAUAAAAAAUUACUGUUAAUGUAACACUGUUUUCUGUUAAUUUUUCGCAGUUCCAGUACAUAGAUGCAGAUGGAAAUCCAGUUCAUAUAGUCCAGAUGACCUUCCUCAAACUUUUAAGUGCCACAGGUCGACAAAACUUUACCUAUAAUUGUCAGCAAUCUGCUGCAUGGUAUGAUAU